CUGGGGAAUAGCCAGUGGCCCACCUGCAGCCUCAUCUUGGGUGACACUCUCACCAUGGCCCACAGGCUGCUCCAGGAGCCUGUCACAGCAGAGCAAGGUCCAGCUGGAUUCAAUUCCCCUCUCCACCUGGGAACCCAAAACAGGCUUCAGGGUCCCCCCAGACUCAACCGCCCACAGCAAGUCAACGAGGCACACAGGAGGCAAGACUCGCAUGGGGGAUGGGUGAUGUCUGGGCUCCCUUCCCCCACACCCUCGCUUCUCACGUUGACCAUCGCCGUGACUCUGAGUUCUCAGUUGGAACCCCAGGGGCACAGUCUGAACACAGACCCUGGACUGGCUGCUCCUGCAGGACGUCUGCUGAGCCCAGAAGGAAUCACAGCACACGACGCAUCCACAAAGCCCCAGGUGCCCCGGGAGAUCAGCGGGACUUCAGAGACAAGCAGGGGCCUCAGUGUCCACCUGACUUCUCCCUAGGCAGCCUCCACUGUCCUCAUCCCGGCUCCAAGCACACGCUUUCCCGUGACAAGGAGGAACCACAGUGCCUGGAGCCCAGCUGGGUAAGGGCCCUAACCCGGCUAGCCUGGACGCCACACGCGGGAGGUGGCAGAGCCUACUGCCACCCGUGGAGAACAUCGCGCAGUCCCCUAAAUUCCAGGGAGGAAGACUCUCGGAAGGCCCACAGCCUCAACUCCUCCCUGCAAAGCCCGAGUGCAGAGCCCGGCCUGCCCCUGCCCCUGCCGACCGGCCGGGCCACCGUCUCAGCCCCCAAGCCCGCUGUAGGCACCAUCAAAGCUGCACGGCCGCAGCUCCAAGGAAGCCUUCGUCUGUUUACUUGGUCGAUGAACGCAGGGCACAGGCAGUCAUUCUGGGGAACGCAGCUUCCGAAACAUCGAGGAGUGAAGUGGUCCAAGAGAAAAACAGGACCCGGUCCCAGCUGAUGAGUGCAUGUGGGUGCGAUGCUCUUGCAGGAGCAGUGAGGGUCUGGAGUCACCCAGGGUGACUCACCGCUAGGACGGGGCACCUUGGCUUCACAUCUUCCCGGAGGCCAAAAGGCCACUCCAUGUGGGGCCUCGAUGGGACAGGUGGCUCUUGUGAGGGAAGGAGAAGGUAGAGGGAGAGGCCCGGGGGAGUCUCAUCCAGCCAGGAACCUCUGGAACUUCUAGAAAACGCCACUCCAAGAGACAGAUGCAGGAAUCUCCCUAAAGAGAAACCCAGGGGUUUCUGCAGGUGACAGAAUUCCCCAGAGAGGGAGGCAGGAUCUUAGGCAUUGGAGGACGGCUGGCACCUGCUCUGCCUUAGGACUGCGCCCACACUGUGCCCAACAGGCAGAUCCCAGCCUGAUGCCCUGACGCUGACUCCAGGCUGCCAGGGAGGGAGAAGCUAAGGAUGUCAGCCUCUCUUCCCUCGGCGUCCUGAGCAUGACGUCUGUCAGGCUGUCUGGCUAGUCACCAUCAGACUUAGGUGCCAGAGCCUUGGGAACCUCUGGGACCUGACCCAGACCUGUGCCUAGCCUGGGGUCAAGUUCUACCCUCGGCAUAGUUUUUUUGGGUUUUUGUUUGUUUGUUUGUUUGUUUGUUUGUUUUCAUUUUUGUUUCAGAGAUAGAGUCUCGCCUCUGUCCCCAGACUGGAGUGCAGUGACGCAAUCACAGCUCACUGCAAUCUCGACUUCCUAGGUUCAAGCCAUCCUCCUGCCUCAGCCACUGGAAUAGCUGGGACCACAGGCAAGUGCCACCACGUCCAGUUAAACUGUUUUCUUUCUUUCUUUUUUUUUUUUUUUUUUUGGAGAGACGGGAUCUCAUUCUGUUGCCCCCUCCCAUUCUUUUUUUUCUUUUAUUUCAGGGUCUCAGUCUGCCACCCUGGAGACACACAGUGAGCUCUGAUUGCAGCAUUAUAACACUAGAGUGCAGUGUUGCAAUCACAGCCCACUGGAACCUCAAACUCCCGAGUCCAAGCCAUCCUCCCACCUCAGCUGGGACCACAGGUGCAUGCCACCAUGCCCAGAUUUUUUUUUUUUAUUUUUGGUAGACACGGGGGUCUCACCAUGUUGCCCAGGCUAGUCUUGAACUUCUGGGCUCAAGCAGUCCUCCCACUUCGGGCUCCCAAAAGGCUGGGAUUAUAGACAUGAGCCUCCGCGCCCAGCCCGCUCCUGUGUUUUCACAGCGCAGUUCCUCUCACCCACUCCCAAGAGGCUGAUCAAGGCUUUGGCUGAGACUGGAGAAAGGAGACAUGGAAUGAGGGAAUGGAGCCAUGUGGCUGCCACUGCACUGAGCUCGAGGUCCCUGUGUCUCAAUAACUGCAAACACCGGCUCCAGUUGCCUUCAGUAUCCCCAAGUAGCUGCUUGUUCCAGCUCCCACACCACUGACUUCUCCGGAGAGUGUUUUUAAGAAAGCCUUUGCAGACUUUUCGAGACCAAGGAAUCUUCCCACAUGUAGCCCCAAAUCCCUUUUCUGGGUUUGUACAAAACUUCUAAGGUGUCGAAGCCCCAUGGCAGCUUCAGGGAGUGUUUUGAAGUCUCUUCCCGGGAAGCCCCUGUCCUGAAGGACCGGUUCAGUUUCCUGCCUCCCCCUGCUUAAGAGAGAAUCUCUAAGCACCCUCUUCUCCUUCCUCCUAGGCAGCCAGAGCCCAGGAGAGUUCCUGAGAUGAUGCAAUAUUGAUAAAGGCCAUUGUGCCGUGAGGUUCAGACAGAGACACCAGCCGGCGCAUCUGGGGUGCUGCUGCUUGGUGAAAACGGAGCUUUCAGCGCCCCACACACCCUGGCCGAGAGCGUGGCACAGGGGUGCCAAGAUUCCUCUUUGAGCCAGGCUUGAUCUGUUUUUUUUCCAGGGGUUGCAGCCUGCCCGGGGCCCAGAAAGCUAAGUCAAGCCCCAC
This is a long non-coding RNA of Macaca mulatta (Rhesus monkey), 2869 nucleotides long. NCBI's taxonomy places the organism in Eukaryota, Metazoa, Chordata, Mammalia, Primates, Cercopithecidae. The record is from Ensembl.